CAAAAACAUCGCCUCCUGUCUAACUAUAAGAGGUCCAGCCUGCCCAGUGACAUUGUUCAACGGCCGCGGUAUCCUAACCGUGCGAAGGUAGCGUAAUCACUUGUUCUUUAAAUGAGGACUAGUAUGAACGGCUUCACGAAAGCUAUACUGUCUCCUUUAUCCAAUCAGUUAAACUAAUCUCCCCGUGAAGAAGCGAGGAUACCUAUAUAAGACGAGAAGACCCUAUGGAGCUUUAAACACUUAAACAUUUGCAUUACAUAUAAAACUUUCAGAAAACUCUCUCAAGCUUACCAUUUUGUUUUAAGUUUUAGGUUGGGGUGACCACGGAGAAAAAUCUAACCUCCACGUAGAAAGAAACUAUUUUCUAAGCAAAAAGUCACAUCUUUACGCAUCAACAUAUUGACCUAAAUUGACCCAUUAUUUGAUCAACGAACCAAGUUACCCUAGGGAUAACAGCGCAAUCCGCUUUAAGAGCUCUUAUCGACAAGCGGGCUUACGACCUCGAUGUUGGAUCAGGGUAUCCUAGUGGUGCAGCAGCUACUGACGGUUCG
Molecule: ribosomal RNA, 551 nt
Filed under: Allobates crombiei group sp. ABGD cluster 5
Lineage: Eukaryota; Metazoa; Chordata; Amphibia; Anura; Aromobatidae
Description: partial large subunit ribosomal RNA
Rfam family: Bacterial large subunit ribosomal RNA
Source: RNAcentral